GCACCCUCUUCGGGUCUACUCGGACAAGCUUCGGAAAAUCCAGCGCCCCUCGGGGUCGGCUGCACUCGUGCACGUUCAUUUACUGUCAUUUACUGCAAGUAAAUAAACAUGCAGUCACCAAAUGUGGGAGGCGACUUCGGUGACUUAGGGAGACAUCAGGCAGACAGUUCCCCACCCAGGGGCUUUCUAACCACGGCUUGGUGAUUACCAGCCUCAACACUCUGGGGGCUGGGAACCUAGCCCCAAGCCCAAACAUUCGUGACAUACGCUUUCGUCAUUAAUCCCAAGAGGGAGGAGGUCUGUUGUUUUAUGUUACUGUUUUUAUGGAUGUCUUGAAGUCAUCACAGGUCAUUCUAAACAGCGACCUCAGAUGUACCUACUGCCCAGGAGGGCACAAACAGAAGACAAACAGUCUUUAAGUAUAAGUGCCCUUGAUAGUUUAACCUGAGGAGAAUCACUCAAACAUUAAUUAGAAGACUGAGAUUAGUCAGUUAACAGUUCAGGGAGUUAACAUGUUUAACAAUGGAACAAUUAAAACUGUUAGCAUAACCCAGAGUCUGAUAAAGUACCUAGAAAGGUAAAUUGGGAGAGUUUUGAAGAUUGAGGACCGGUGUCUAUACCUAAUAGGACCACCCAUCUGAGCCUCUUAUUUCUAGUUCUGUCUUUCUAGCCCACAUCAUAAAACACGAAUAAAACGAUUAUUUUAAAUACCAAUUAUUAUGUCUGUUAAGGUAAGCCUUUCACCAACUGUCACCCUUUUCUUGUACCCGUCAUGUGGGGUGUCACCUGAAAGGCUUAUCCUGGUCUUUCUCUCCUAGCACCUGGUACCAGGUAGAAGAGAGAGAAGAGAGGAAGUGGAAGACAUGAACGGGAAAAGAGUACACCUACUCUAUUGCAAGUCGUUGACAUCCAGUGAAAGCUAAGAUACAGGAGUUUGUGAAUGUACCAAAAUAUACGAGGACCAGCCAUUCAGAUGCUGAAGACCCAGAAGAGUUUCUUGGUUUUCACUGCAAAGGAUCUUGAAGUACUUUACAGACAUUACUUAAUUGAAUUUCCCAGAAUGCCAAGGAAAUGUUUCCAAAUACAAUUUUUUGUGCGUUUUGCAGACAGUUGAACUGACAGGGUGGCAGGACUUGUCCUGGCUUGAAGAAAAGCUGUGAGCAAAAACAAAGAACUAUCAUGUAUUUAUUAUGGCUAGAAACACACCACAAAUCUUCCUUGACUUAUAUCCUAAUAAAGCCGUCCUUAAUUGAAAA
Molecule: long non-coding RNA, 1256 nt
Organism: Leopardus geoffroyi (Geoffroy's cat)
Lineage: Eukaryota; Metazoa; Chordata; Mammalia; Carnivora; Felidae
Exons: 3
Source: RefSeq, a predicted model, not a curated record